This 497-nucleotide ribosomal RNA is filed under the name uncultured bacterium. RNAcentral's name for it is "partial 16S ribosomal RNA". It matches the Rfam family "Bacterial small subunit ribosomal RNA", at positions 28 to 507 of the family's 1533-position model. The record is from RNAcentral.
GAUGAACGCUGGCGGCGUGCCUAAUACAUGCAAGUCGAGCGAACAGACGCGGAGCUUGCUCCUCUGACGUUAGCGGCGGACGUGUGAGUAACACGUGGAUAACCUACCUAUAAGACUGGGAUAACUUCGGGAAACCGGAGCUAAUACCGGAUAAUAUAUUGAACCGCAUGGUUCAAUAGUGAAAGACGGUUUUGCUGUCACUUAUAGAUGGAUCCGCGCCGCAUUAGCUAGUUGGUAAGGUAACGGCUUACCAAGGCAACGAUGCGUAGCCGACCUGAGAGGGUGAUCGGCCACACUGGAACUGAGACACGGUCCAGACUCCUACGGGAGGCAGCAGUAGGGAAUCUUCCGCAAUGGGCGAAAGCCUGACGGAGCAACGCCGCGUGAGUGAUGAAGGUCUUCGGAUCGUAAAACUCUGUUAUUAGGGAAGAACAAAUGUGUAAGUAACUAUGCACGUCUUGACGGUACCUAAUCAGAAAGCCACGGCUAACUACGUG